CAGAACAGGAACGCUGAGGUGUUGAGGAACCAGAUCUCUGCUCCACUACUUCAUCUGAAAUGGACCAAAGAAGAGCAAUUUAUAUGGAAAAAGCACAGUCCUCUUCCUUCCAACAAUCAUAACAAACAUCGCUACCAAUCACAAGACUUGCACACAGUCAAAAUGUGGCCCCUAAGUCCUUCUCAAAUCGGAGUAAUCGGCAUUGAUAUUGGAAUCAAACUGAUAUCUCUGCAUGUGAAGAAAGCAUAUCCUUGACAACUUAUUUUCUUCUAGCAUAUCAACAAAAAAAAUCAUUAAGGUAAAAACAAAAGUUACCAUCAUAUAUUGCCUUGGGGAGGUGGAGGGCAAAGUGAGAGAAAUCUUGUUAAAACUGCAUUUUCUACGAUUCCCAGGACCAAUCUCCAGAAAUUCUGAUUUGAUAGGUCUGGAGUGGUUCCCAGGGAUCUGCGUUUUAAUAACAACAACACGUAAUUUCGAUGAAAGAGGUCUGGGAUCCAUAUAAACACUACCAUACAUAGUUGAUGGUAGUUCAAGAGUAAAAUUUAAAUGCUUUGUUUAAAACAACUUCCCUAACUCUAAACUCAGUUCCAUUCUUGUUCCAUCCAGCACCUGACCCUUGGUUUAUUCUGGUUUUAUCCCACUUGGGCCUCUGAAAUGAAUAAUCAGAUUUGGUUUACCCAAGUUUAAUUCUUGGCACACACUAAGUUCUUGGACAUGACAAUUUUCCCUGACGCCUUUGGCUCCUUGAUUGCCAUGGGUACCUAAAUCCAACCCAAAUCCCAAUGGAGACCUAUUUGGUCGCCCUGGCCACCCAGGAUGAGGAAAGGUGAUGAAGGGGAAAGUUUAGACACUAUAAUACUAAUAAAAUAUGAAUGGAGAAAUAUGACAAAGAAUCUGACAAGUCAGUUAAUUUUAAAAAGUAAAACCUGCUUCCCUGUUGUUCCUUACUUGUGCUCCACGGCAACACUUCAAAUGAUUCUUUUAUGCCACGGAGAUACUUCUUGUGGAAAGAUGCCAGGUAAGAGGUAUUCAACAUGUCUUUCAUCCUUUUCACUUCACUUACAUUUUGGUUAAGUCUAGAUUGCUUAAAAACCAGUGCAGGACCUACCCACCGGAUGUCUUCGAGAUGAUUUUAACAUCUGGUCAACUAGUGCCAAGUUUUAUCUUCUCAGAGCUCAUGCAUGCAUAGCUUCCUUACCAUCAAUGCUUUUAAAGUCCAAAAGAUAGCUCCUGUUAUCAACCAGGUAAAGUUGUAAGCUCAUUUUCACGUAAUUGCCAGUCACUGGAUUUUUUCUUCUUACACGAAGAUGGUAUGCAUUCACUACCUAAAGUGAAAAAUCAAUAAAAAUAAUAAACUACAAAAUAUCUACCUUUUUAUGCAAAAAAAGUCAAAACAAAUAAUUAAUAGGGGUGAGGUAGGAAAGGAAUAUCAAAUAAUUUUUUUAUAUUACUGGUAGUUCACGUUAGUAUUUAUUUAAUACCCACUAAGCAGUACUGUAUGGCAAUUAAGAUUUAAAGGAAAAGCUACUUGAAUAAAUUUGGGGUACUGAAGAAAAAAGUGAAAGAUAAAAGAAAAACUUAAAGAGAACCCAGAGAUUACAUAGGGUCCAGCUUUCACUCUAGAUAAGCAUCAACUCUAAAACAUCAAUUCUAAUUUGGUUGUCCAGUCUCUGCCUGAACAUGUUCAUGGAUGAUUAUGGAGUAGAAGGAACAAAGAGGACCAGGCACAGUGGCUCACGCCUGUAAUUCCAACACUUUGGGAGGCCAAGGUGGGUGGACUGCCUGAGCCCAGGAGCUUCAGACCAGCCUGGGCAACAUGGUGAAACCCCAUCUCUACAAAAACAUACAAAAAAAAAUCAGCCGAGUGUGGUGGCAGGCGCCUGUAGUCCCAGCUACUAGGGAGGCUGAGGUGAGAGGAUAGCCUGACCCUGGGUUGCAGUGAGCCAAGAUCGCGCCACUGCAAUCCAGCCUGGGCAACAGAGUGAGACCCUGUCUCAAAAAAACAAACAACAAAAACAAAAAACAAACAAAAAAACAACACUGCUUUGGGUUUUCAAAACAUCUGUGGUACUAAUUUCAAAAUGUUUCAGUACAGAAUUUUAAAAAUGUUAACGUUUCUUUUUUAACUAAAUAAGACUGCUCCAAAACAGAGAGAUCUGUUUUUUAAAUGAUUUUAAGAAAAUACUCAUUUCAUGUACAAAUAAUAAAAUGAAAAUGACUGAUUUAUUUGAACACAUCAAAUGCAUAUUUAUGUGGUAAGUUUGCACAUUUUUCUUCUUCCUUUAAAAGUUCACAAUCCUCAAGAAAAGAACAAGAGUGAAAGGCAUAUCUGAAAAGAAAAAAUGCCCCUCCCCACACAUAUAUUCAAAUAGAACUGAAAUGAAAUUGAGCACUAAUUUUUAAGAAAAGCAAACUGUAGGCUGAGAGUAAGGAAAAUGUACUCUAAGUAUUAAAAGCACUAGCCAAAUAAAAGAGAAUAUCACAACUUGGAGAAAAGUGUUUAUUGACUGAAUAAAUAUGUUCUGAUGAUAUAAUUUGUAUCGACCACUAGCUAUUACAGCCACCUGCCUCUGUCACCUAAAAAAAGAGAAAAGAAAAAUAACCUCCCUAAAAAAAAAAGAGAAAGUAAAAACAUACUAUCUUUGAAGACACUCAUGAUUUUUCAUUGCUAUGAUGCAUGCUGAAACUGGUAAGCUAUUUUCUCAGAUGAUUUCUAGUUGAUUACUUUUUUCUUGACCAAGAACACUUCUAUAAUUCAAAAUAUGUUGGUUCCCAGUAUCAACCACUUUUCAUCCUUAUAGAGGUUAUUUGUUUUGUUUUUAAUGUGCAUAGCAUAUUACUAGAAAAAGUUGGGCUUAAUACUCAACUCAGGAGCUCAGAGCAGCUUAUAAUAUAGAAAACUGGCUUCUACAAAUGAUCUUAUUACAUUAUAAUUUCCUACCUUCCAUUCAAAAUCCAGCUGCUUCAUAGCUCGGUAAACUUCAGCCAUAAUGUCAUACGGUUUGCUCUGACUUCGGAUUCCAAGAUGCCACUUAGCUUUUUUCACAGCUAAAGAUUUGGGCUUAGUCGUAUUCAGUGCAUCCAGUGGACAUCUUGCUUUGGGGCUGUCUGCUAUAAGAGGUGGCAUCCUUUCUGGAUGAGGUUUCAGGCCUGGGGGAAUAUGCAUGGCACUAUCAUCCAUAAAAGAACCAGAUGGAGGACUAGAGGCGAGGUAGAACUCACUGGCUUGGUUCAUUAUUCUCCGAUUGUCAAUGAUAAGAUGAUAAGCCACCGCAAGCUGGUCUUGAGGGUCACCACUAUAUAAACUGUUCAUUACUUCUGAUUCUGUACAUUCAAAUUUUUCACACACUUCUUUCACAGCCUCAUCAUCAAUGACGUUAGCAUCAUAGGAAGGGUCUUCAGGAAAUAAGUAACUGGGCAAAUCUUGUUUAAACCAUUCAUGCUCUCUAGGAAAAACACCACAAUACAUUAUUGUAAGACACGGUUUGGCAAGUCCAAAUAAUUUAGACAUAGGGCAAUAUAAUAGAAUAUAAUCAAAAGAUCUGGUCUCUAGACCUAGCUCUGCCACUUACUAGCUAUGUGAUCCUGAGCAAGUUAAUUACCCACCACCCUUGAAUAACUAUGGUUAUUAAGACUUGGCAUUUGGAUGACAUUUUCUCAAAAAUGAAAAAAGCGAGCCCAUCGCUUUAAGGAAAACAACCAGCAAUAUUUGUUGCCAAUGAUAAAAUUCAAGCUUUCAAGCAAAAAUUUCAAAUUUUGUAUUAUUUGUGUGAGUUUAACAGCUUCUCAAUACUUAAAGACUUUCUGAUAAAGUUGGUGUUAAUAAUAAUAAAUAUGCUUUUUUUCUUUUCCAACCACUUAUCUGAGUGAGGUCAGACCUUCUUUACACACUUCAACUAAUACAAAAUAAUGCAACAGACUGAAUGAAGAAGGUAUGAAAACCACACUUCAGCUAAUACAAAAUAGUGCAACAGAUUGAAUGAAGAAGAACCCUGGAAAUUAACCAAAGGCUUGCAACAAUCUGAAGACUGUUUAUUCAAGAAAAAUGGCUGAAUCUCAAUAAGAAAGGUGAGAUUUGUGGCUUUUUAAGUUGCCCUAAGUCCGCUUCCCUUUGUCCAGCUCCUUGGCAGCCUUGAAAACGAACAGCCUCAUAAUCACAGAACUGAGAAAACAGGAGCUUAACAAUCACUGGGGCAUUGAGGUGGGGAGAAUAGAGGAGCAGAAUAGUUUAGAGCUCCCCAAAAAUCUUACCAUGAGAGAACUGUGAUUAUUUUACAUGUCUAGCAGUUCUCUGGAAACCUCCACUCACAAGCCUGGUUUUUAUGUGACCUGACUCAGAGCUUACUCCUGCAAACAGCCUUCUCCCCAGGGCAUUUGUUAAAAAAGAAAAAACAAAAAUCAAUGGCAACUGUCUAACAUCACAACUGCCUGAAGCAGCAGCGAAAGCUGGGUAAAGGGAAAGCUGACCAAAACACUUAAAAGGAAAAAUUAGGAAACACAAUUUCCAGAGGGGUCUUUGGAAAGCUCUGAUAUAUUUCUGGAACUCAGAAAGGCCAGAAACAAAUGCAGGGUUGUGUGUUUGCCUGAGAAAAAACUGAAAGGGCCAUAAUUUCUCACCACUGGCAGAUUUUGAGGCUCUGCACAAGCAGGAAGUGAAGGCUAAGGCAGAGUUACAACUGCCUGUUGGAGCACUAAGGAUAUACCCCAACAUCACACAAAGCCCAUUAGCAAAGGAUGGGAGACUUAUUAGAUCAGGGCAUUUAAGGAAAUUUUUAUCUAAUCACUAGCUGAUCAUUAAGCUAACCAAAGAGAGAUUUCAGUAGCCAUAUAUAAAAAAGAAUACAGAUUUUACAGAAUCAGAUCAGAAAAAUCACUAAACAAACAGAAGCAGCAGCAACAACAUACGACAAUUAUAAACUCUAGAUAUAUACACCCAAGAGAAAUGAAAGCAUAGCCAUACAAAUUGUGUAUGUAAAUGUUCAUGGAAACAGUAGUCAUAAAAGCCACAAAUUAGAAACAAUUCAAUCUUCAUUAACUAAUGCAUAAACAAAAUGUAGUAUAUUCAUACACUGGAAUAUUUUUCAAGCAAAAAAAAUGAAGUACUAAUACAUGCUACAGUAGGAAAGUACUUUGUAAACAUUAUGCUAAAUGACAGACGCCAGAUACAAAAGACCACAUACUGUAUGAUUCCAUUUAUAUGAAAUGUCCAGAACAGGCACAAACACAGAAAGUAGAUUAGUGGUUGCCAGGGGAUAGGAGGAAGGGGAAAUGGGGAGUGACUAUUAGUGUGUAUAGUUUCUUUCACGGAUGAUAAAAUAGUUCUGGAAUUAGAUGGCCGUAAUGAUUAUGGAACUUUGUGAAUAUACUAAAAGCCAGUGAAUUAUACAAUCUAAAGGGAUAAAUUUAUGAUAUGUGAAUUAUAUUUUAAAAAUUAAUUUUAAAAAACAAUAAGGAAACAAUCUAAAUUUGAUUUCUAAUUCAUUAAUUUAGUCAAAUGGCCAUAAUUGCUUGUAAUAACUUACAAUUUUAAAAGCCAUCCUUCUAGCUUUUGAUUUUCAGGAGUCGGUUUCUGAACUAACUCUACCAAAGUGAGCAGUAACUAGGAUGUUUAUGAAGGUUCAUCUGAGACAAAAGCAAUUCACUUCACAUGGGCUAUUAUACAGGCAUCAAAAAUUAUAUUUUUCUGUCACUACUACCUGAUACCUGAAAUUGAUAUAUGACUUAAGGUUAGAUUAUAAAGACUAUCAAAUUUUAGAAACCUCAUGAUAUGCCCAAAUUUAUUUAAGUGCAGCUAAAAGGUUUUCAAAUAUUCCCUCAAAAAUAAUAAUAGCUAAUAUUAUGUUCUAGACAUUGUUCUAAAAGCUUUAAUUAUAUUAAGUCGAAUAUUUGCAGUUUCUGAUAUUCAAUCAUUUUCAGACCUACCUAAAUGGCAAUUUCACAAGGUUUGAUCUAUGACUACGCUCCCCAAAAUUCUAAUAUAUGUGGGAAGUAACUAAGUUGCACAUAGCUAAUAAACAGAUGCACUGGGAUUUGUGCUCAGUUGAACUUCAGACCGCUCACUUUAACUAUGAUAACAUUAAUACUAUUACUAAGCUUAAGAUACCUGGAGAACACAAAGAUGUGUUUUCCAUGAAGAUAAUAUCUAUCUUGUUUAACACUAUAUUACCAGCACCUAGCACAAGACCUUGCACAGAGCAGACGUGAAAUAAAUAUUUGUUGAAUGAAUAAAAGUGAAAAUGGUUAAAUAAGCAAAUAAAUAUGAAGAUAUAUUUCCGAACUUCCAAUGGCUAUCUUACAAGAAAAUAAUAGAUGUACAAAAAUAAUAUUGAGACAGUAAGUAUGUAGUAGCAUAAGAGAUAAAUAAAAUAUGAUAGAUUGAAAGGAUAGACAUCACAGAACUGAUGUAACAAUUUGGAAUAGUAGAAAUGGCACAGGUUUUGAAUUCAGGUAAAGUUCCAAGUUGAGCCCCAUUGUGCUCCUUAUUAGUUGUGUAAUUUUCAACAAACACAGAUUUACUUAACAUUUAAUAUGUGUUAGACCUUGUGCAUUUUGCUAUGAAUUAAUAAUUGGUCCCUAAUUUAAAGUAAUUUAUAAUUUAAUAGGGGCAAACAGAUACAUAAAUCAUGAUGUAACCUUUCUGAGCUUCAGUUUCAUGGUUUGUAAAAUGGUUUAUAGCUAUCUAUGAAAAGUCAAUGCAAUAACAUAAGUUAAGCCAUAAAGCAGAAUGCUUGGUAUUUUGUAAUUUUUCAAUGAUUAGUAAUUCUUUUCCCUAUUGAACUAUAUUUUAUCAAAUCAAGAAUUCCCAAACAUUGGCCAGGCGUGGUGGCUUAUGCCUGUAAUCCUGGCACUUUGGGAGGCCAAGAUGGGAAAACUGCUUUAGGCCAGGAGUUCAAGACCAGCCUGGUAAACAUAGCAAGACCCCAUCUCUUUAAAAAAAAAAAAAAAAAAAAAAUUAAAAAAAUGAGAAGAAUUCCCAAACAUUAAAAAAUUGAAUAUAGAUAAGUAAAUAUAUAUAUGACAUAAAUUAAAAAAGAUGAAAACUAUAGAUUCAAGUUAUCAUAUUAAAGUAUAGAGAUGAAUGAUACUUUCAUGCCAUCUACCUACGUACAAAUUAACUCUUCCCAGUAAAUAUAUUUACAUUUUUCUUCUGAAGUCUAUAAAUAUACAAACAUCUGUUUUAAAGCAAUGAAUCAGUAUUAUUACCAUUUGACUUUUUUUUUAAUAAAAAAAAAUUUUAAUAUAGA
Long non-coding RNA from Pan troglodytes (chimpanzee), 7244 nucleotides. RefSeq lists it as uncharacterized. The transcript is spliced from 3 exons. NCBI's taxonomy places the organism in Eukaryota, Metazoa, Chordata, Mammalia, Primates, Hominidae. The record is from RefSeq and is a predicted model, not a curated record.